AUGAACGCUGGCGGCGUGCCUAAUACAUGCAAGUCGCGCUAACAGACGAGGAGCUUGCUCCUCUGACGUUAGCGGCGGACGGGUGAGUAACACGUGGAUAACCUACCUAUAAGACUGGGAUAACUUCGGGAAACCGGAGCUAAUACCGGAUAAUAUAUUUAACCGCAUGGUUCAAUAGUGAAAGACGGUUUUGCUGUCACUUAUAGAUGGAUCCGCGCCGCAUUAGCUAGUUGGUAAGGUAACGGCUUACCAAGGCAACGAUGCGUAGCCGACCUGAGAGGGUGAUCGGCCACACUGGAACUGAGACACGGUCCAGACUCCUACGGGAGGCAGCAGUAGGGAAUCUUCCGCAAUGGGCGAAAGCCUGACGGAGCAACGCCGCGUGAGUGAUGAAGGUCUUCGGAUCGUAAAACUCUGUUAUUAGGGAAGAACAAAUGUGUAAGUAACUAUGCACGUCUUGACGGUACCUAACCAGAAAGCCACGGCUAACUACGUG
This 496-nucleotide ribosomal RNA is filed under the name uncultured bacterium. RNAcentral's name for it is "partial 16S ribosomal RNA". It matches the Rfam family "Bacterial small subunit ribosomal RNA", at positions 29 to 507 of the family's 1533-position model. The record is from RNAcentral.